Molecule: ribosomal RNA, 474 nt
Filed under: Enterobacter hormaechei subsp. xiangfangensis
Lineage: Bacteria; Pseudomonadati; Pseudomonadota; Gammaproteobacteria; Enterobacterales; Enterobacteriaceae
Description: partial 23S ribosomal RNA
Rfam family: Bacterial large subunit ribosomal RNA
Source: RNAcentral
ACACUUGCUGUGAACUCGAAGAGUAGGGCGGGACACGUGGUAUCCUGUCUGAAUAUGGGGGGACCAUCCUCCAAGGCUAAAUACUCCUGACUGACCGAUAGUGAACCAGUACCGUGAGGGAAAGGCGAAAAGAACCCCGGCGAGGGGAGUGAAAAAGAACCUGAAACCGUGUACGUACAAGCAGUGGGAGCCUCUUUAUGGGGUGACUGCGUACCUUUUGUAUAAUGGGUCAGCGACUUAUAUUCUGUAGCAAGGUUAACCGUAUAGGGGAGCCGAAGGGAAACCGAGUCUUAACUGGGCGUUAAGUUGCAGGGUAUAGACCCGAAACCCGGUGAUCUAGCCAUGGGCAGGUUGAAGGUUGGGUAACACUAACUGGAGGACCGAACCGACUAAUGUUGAAAAAUUAGCGGAUGACCUGUGGCUGGGGGUGAAAGGCCAAUCAAACCGGGAGAUAGCUGGUUCUCCCCGAAAGCU